GUCCCCUCCCUUCUCCCUCUGUUCUGGGGAAUGAUGGAGGAGCUUAUUAUUGCAGACACAUUAGCUCUCCUCUGACAGACAGAACACAUGCACCUCCUCCCCUCCUUGUAAGGCUUGGGGCGGGUCCGGGGUGGGGGUGCCUGGGGCCAAUCACUGAAGGAAAGAAAGAAAGAAAGAAAGAAAGAAAGAAAGAAAGGAAGGAAGGAAGGAAGGAAGGAAGGAAGGAAGGAAGGAAGGAAGGAAGGAAGGAAGGAAGAAAGAAAGAAAGAAAGAAAGAAAGAAAGAAAGAAAGAAAGAAAGAAAGAAAAAGAAAGAAAACACAAGGCUUCUGAUUCACCAGAGCCAAGUUCUAUCACAGUUUGAACUCUCUGGUGUUGUGAAAACACUCAUGUUGUGUCAGGAGCGUGAUCACCGUCACUGGACCAGCUCAAUGUCAAUCAAGAAAACGCAGCUUAUUACUAUUCUGAUCAGUCCUUUACAGAGCAUCAGGGCUGAGGCUACUCCUACAUAUAAUAUACAUCAGAUAAUUAUUUUCACCACCUACUAUGUUUAGAGUAUCAGGAGGAAAAGUGAAAAAAGUUCACCUCAACAGUAAAUAACAGUGGUUCCAAACAAAAUAGAACCAACUUGGUUUCCAUUUCUCUCUAUAAAACUGUAUAAAGAGGAGCUUCGUCCUCUUACAGUAAAUAACCACCCAGUAUUGCAUUGGACAAUAAAGAAUAGGGUCAUUUAAUCAGUAUUUUAUCAGAUACCAAUUAAUAAGAGCCCAGUGCAAUUAGGUAGUCAAUCUACAAAUGGAAACAUCUGAAAAUGCAAAUAUUAAAAUCUCUAAAACAUCCAGAUGAGUCUUUCCCAAAAGUUUUUUUUUUCUUAAAUCAGAACAUGCAAUAGUCAAAACUGUUUCCUCAAAAACAGGAUUAAAUACUGAGAUCCAAAGAUCUGUAAAUUGUAAGAACAAUUAUGCAGUCACUCUACCAAACUGUGUGGAUUAAUAUGGCAAAUAUGCUUUAGAUCGGGGUUGUCUGCACCGAGUUAAAUAAGAGUGAGACAGAGAGAGGCUGUCGUCUCUAGACUACUGAAAAACCUCCUAUUGCUGACAGUCUGUGCAGGAAGAGGACAAGAAACAAGACAAAGCAGUUGUACAAUAUCAUGAUGUUCAAGCACAUACUGUAUAAAACAUGAUUUUAAAACAGAAAUGACCAACUGUGCCAUGUUCAGGAAGGACAACCUCUCAGAAUCCAACAUCAGAUAUGUCUCUGUAUACCAGAACUGGAGGAAGAGUGCUA
Amphiprion ocellaris (clown anemonefish) is the source of this 1286-nucleotide long non-coding RNA. The record is from Ensembl. NCBI's taxonomy places the organism in Eukaryota, Metazoa, Chordata, Actinopteri, Pomacentridae.